CCUGGGGAGUACGNCCGCAAGGUUAAAACUCAAAUGAAUUGACGGGGGCCCGCACAAGCGGUGGAGCAUGUGGUUUAAUACGAUGCAACGCGAAGAACCUUACCUACUCUUGACAUCCACGGAAUUCGGCAGAGAUGCCUUAGUGCCUUCGGGAACCGUGAGACAGGUGCUGCAUGGCUGUCGUCAGCUCGUGUUGUGAAAUGUUGGGUUAAGUCCCGCAACGAGCGCAACCCUUAUCCUUUGUUGCCAGCGAUUCGGUCGGGAACUCAAAGGAGACUGCCGGUGAUAAACCGGAGGAAGGUGGGGAUGACGUCAAGUCAUCAUGGCCCUUACGAGUAGGGCUACACACGUGCUACAAUGGCGCAUAUAAAGAGAAGCGACCUCGCGAGAGCAAGCGGACCUCAUAAAGUGCGUCGUAGUCCGGAUCGGAGUCUGCAACUCGACUCCGUGAAGUCGGAAUCGCUAGUAAUCGUGGAUCAGAAUGCCACGGUGAAUACGUUCCCGGGCCUUGUACACACCGCCCGNNACACCAUGGGAGUGGGUUGCAAAAGAAGUAGGUAGCUUAACCUUCGGGAGG
RNAcentral lists this ribosomal RNA (577 nucleotides) under uncultured bacterium. RNAcentral describes it as "bacterial SSU rRNA". It matches the Rfam family "Bacterial small subunit ribosomal RNA", at positions 872 to 1449 of the family's 1533-position model. The record is from RNAcentral.